Molecule: ribosomal RNA, 448 nt
Filed under: uncultured bacterium
Lineage: Bacteria
Description: partial 16S ribosomal RNA
Rfam family: Bacterial small subunit ribosomal RNA
Source: RNAcentral
GGCCAGACUCCUACGGGAGGCAGCAGUGGGGAAUAUUGCACAAUGGGGGGAACCCUGAUGCAGCGACGCCGCGUGGGUGAAGAAGCGCCUCGGCGCGUAAAGCCCUGUCAGCAGGGAAGAAAAUGACGGUACCUGAAGAAGAAGCCCCGGCUAACUACGUGCCAGCAGCCGCGGUAAUACGUAGGGGGCAAGCGUUAUCCGGAUUUACUGGGUGUAAAGGGGGCGCAGACGGCGAUGCAAGCCAGGAGUGAAAGCCCGGGGCCCAACCCCGGGACUGCUCUUGGAACUGCGUGGCUGGAGUGCAGGAGGGGCAGGCGGAAUUCCUGGUGUAGCGGUGAAAUGCGUAGAUAUCAGGAGGAACACCGGUGGCGAAGGCGGCCUGCUGGACUGCAACUGACGUUGAGGCCCGAAAGCGUGGGGAGCAAACAGGAUUAGAUACCCCAGUAAG